ACGCUCGACACCUACGGAAGGCAGCAGUGGGGAAUAUUGCACAAUGGGGGAAACCCUGAUGCAGCGACGCCGCGUGAGCGAAGAAGUAUUUCGGUAUGUAAAGCUCUAUCAGCAGGGAAGAAAGUGACGGUACCUGACUAAGAAGCACCGGCUAAAUACGUGUCAGCAGCCGCGGUAAUCUGAGCGGGCUGGCAAGGC
RNAcentral lists this ribosomal RNA (198 nucleotides) under uncultured bacterium. RNAcentral describes it as "partial 16S ribosomal RNA". It matches the Rfam family "Bacterial small subunit ribosomal RNA", at positions 326 to 539 of the family's 1533-position model. The record is from RNAcentral.